AGGAAUUGGGCGGGUCCAUGUGUGUUUGCGUAUGUUUGCGCGCGCCCUGCGUCUCGCAAGCAGGAAACAACCGUUUGGAAUAUGUCCAUGUAUGGAAAGCCAACUCCCGCGAAUCGACCUCAUUCAGUCACGUUGCACCUUAAUUACGGCGUUAAAAGCACCUCACAUUUUCAUUUUCAUAUAGUUGUAUAUGAGUGAAACCGCAGACAUCAGCGUGGUCAUAUUUUAAACAUUCAUUUUCCAUUUAUUUCGGCUUAGAACGGUUCUACGUGACAAGUUUAUUCCAAUUACACUGCAAAAACGAAUGAGAUUAGAAUCUUUUUGACAUUUUAUUGAAUAACAAAUCAAAGAGGCAUUCGCAAGGACAGCUGGUCAGUCUGGUCCCGAUUUCGAACAUCUGGCGCAGCCACGACAACAAGCGAAGCAUUCGGCUGAGGGUCACCGGUUAACCCGGUCACGACUUGAACUGAAACACCGGACCGCAGUCCGCCGUUUUUAGAUGCCUGGAGAGUCUACCGACCCUAAUCCUAACCCUGAUUUAAAUCGAACCUGGCUUGACCUAACCCUUACCUUACCCUUUUGAUCGCAGAAUACCAUACGUAGGAAUACGUGUUUACCUGUUUAUUGCCUCAACAUGUAAAAUCCUUUAUUAGGCAAUCGCGUAAGCAUUAAGCAAUGUGGAUGAAGCAACUAAGGAAGAAGCAUGUAUUUAAGCCUCCACCCUCUGUGGAUCUUAUUUAAACUGACCUCUGCGGUAACAACGAGGUUUCAUUAAUAAGUCGGUAUUCUGAAUUUGACGCAGACAAUCGACAGCGUAUUGAUUUGGGUUGGAUUGGGAAUGUCUGGGAGUCUUGCUGAAGGAGAAAGCCUUGAGUUGAGGAUGGAGAACGGAGAGAGAGGCGAAGAAUUGGCUUCUCCCAAGAAUGAGCCAACAGCCUUUGAGGGCCUGCGAUUGAAGCCCACAAUACUCGGAGCGAUUGAAGUGGCAAUUGGGAUCUCCAUGGCACUGACCGCAAUUACGUAUCUGGCUGUCGAUGUCGACCUCGUCAUAACAGCAAUCCUCUUCUGGGGUAUCUUCAUCUGGCACCAAAGAGUUCUGGUGAUGUUGUCCCCUACAGUACAUCCCUGCUGGGGGUUUGACCAUCGCUGCUGACAGGAAACCCACCAGGGCCAAGGUGUGCGCUGCGUUGGGGAUGAAUGUGCUGGUGGCUCUCUCGACCGUCGCUGGAAGUGUUCUUCAUUUCUUUGCUAGUGUACUAUUUGGGUACCCUCGCUGCGACCUUGGUUGUAAACAUUUGAGAAAUACUGAAUUGUUCAUGCUGGCAGCGUCCAUCUUGCUGUUCAUCGUCUCCAUACUGGUUGUUUCCUCUGCAGUGGCUGCUCUGUGUUCCUCUAGAAAGCCAUCAAAAGAAAACACAGUAAUCUAAGUGGUACCCCUCGUUCUAAGGUGGACAAAAAAAUAGAUGAGCCUCUUCUAUCUUCAGAUUUUCACACCAAAAGUUUUAUUUUCUAAAUAUUUCUUUGUACACCUUUUUUAUCUUCUGAUAUCUUUCUAAUGUGGUUUACUUUGAAAUUGCAGAGAUAUUGUAACCCUGAUGUAAAUGAUUGUUGUUUCCAGAAUGUUUUUUAUAAUGUAUAUCUUAUGUACAAUU
Gadus morhua (Atlantic cod) is the source of this 1652-nucleotide RNA transcript. It is a transcript of the gene named membrane-spanning 4-domains subfamily A member 4D, with no coding region annotated. The record is from RefSeq and is a predicted model, not a curated record. NCBI's taxonomy places the organism in Eukaryota, Metazoa, Chordata, Actinopteri, Gadiformes, Gadidae. The transcript is spliced from 6 exons.